This is a long non-coding RNA of Bos taurus (domestic cattle), 1106 nucleotides long. The record is from Ensembl. NCBI's taxonomy places the organism in Eukaryota, Metazoa, Chordata, Mammalia, Artiodactyla, Bovidae.
CUCUGCUACCCCAUGGACUGUAGCCAGCUAGGCUCCUCUGUCCAUGGGAUUCUCCAGGCAAGAAUACUGGAAUCGGUCACCAUUUCCUCCUCCAGGGGAUCUUCCUGACCCAGGGAUCAAACCCAGGGUUCCUGUGUCUCCCACAUUGGCAGGCAGAUUCUCUACCACUGAGCCACCUGGGAACCCCAUGGGGGUUUCAUGGGCCCCCCUUUAAUGGAUGAAGAAACUGGCUCAGAGAGGUGAGUGGUCUGCCCAGGUCUCACAGUCAAAUGGCAGAGCUGGGACUUGGGACAAGCUGUCUGUGGAAUCCUGCUGCAGCCUCACUUUCUACGCCAGCUCACCAGCAUACCAGAGAUUGGUCACUGUGUCACAAUCACAGUGAGGAUCUAGUUCAAAUAGCCUUCUGAGACUCUGCCGACCCUCCUCCCCUUCUCCUGGGUCCUCCCUUCUCAGGGGACUGAACAGUGACUUCCCCUGUACUCUCAACGUGAUAUGCUGUGGGGUGCUUCCAGUGCCUGCUGCCUUCCUGUCUGGUUCUCCAAAGACAAGCCUCCCUCUGCCCAAGGUGGGUCCCAGUAGGGAGACGCUUGGGCAUUGGAGAUUGGCAAAAUCUGGCCAGAUCUCUGGGCUCCUGCAUCCAAGUGGACCACAUGCUUGUCUCUGAUGUUCACAGCUGGUUCCAGGCACCUGACUCCUGACAGUCAAACUCAUGAGAGACUGAAACACCUCAACUGGCCUUUCACAUUUUUAAGUUGGGUGUGCUUGUAGGGUGGGGAGAAACUAUGUAUCUCCAGUGACCAAAAUAUUUGCACCUGUUACCCAGAGCAAUCUUUUAUUUUCAACGGAAAGAAACUGACAUGCCAAAGGCAUUUAAACUUCAGGGGAGGGUCUGCUGUCAGUGGCCUGGCCAGAGGCAGAAGGAUGUCAGAGUCCCACCAGGCCUCAGGGAAGAAGCAAGAUUUACGAGGUGAGAGCCCGCCUGGGCCGCCUCUGUUGGAAAGGCCUCCCUGCAGUAUUUUCUGUCUCAUCAACGCUGCAUUUCAUUUUAAAUUGCAGCUGAAAGCGGAUAUUUUCCCUCUUGCCUAUUACACCUCUUAAUUUGUCUC